UACGUAGGGUGCAAGCGUUGUCCGGAAUUAUUGGGCGUAAAGAGCUCGUAGGCGGUUUGUUGCGUCGGCUGUGAAAUCCCGAGGCUCAACCUCGGGUCUGCAGUCGAUACGAGCAAACUAGAGUGUUGCAGGGGAGACUGGAAUUCCUGGUGUAGCGGUGAAAUGCGCAGAUAUCGUAAGGAACGCCAGUGGCGAAAGCGAGUCUCUGGGCAGCAUCUGACACUGAGGCACGGAAGGCCAGGGGAGCAAACCGGG
RNAcentral lists this ribosomal RNA (255 nucleotides) under uncultured bacterium. Its description in RNAcentral is "partial 16S ribosomal RNA". It matches the Rfam family "Bacterial small subunit ribosomal RNA", at positions 524 to 777 of the family's 1533-position model. The record is from RNAcentral.